This 1826-nucleotide ribosomal RNA is filed under the name metagenome. RNAcentral's name for it is "bacterial LSU rRNA". It matches the Rfam family "Bacterial large subunit ribosomal RNA", at positions 200 to 1983 of the family's 2925-position model. The record is from RNAcentral.
AUCUAAGUACCUCCAGGAAAGGACAUCAAUUGAGACUCCCCUAGUAGUGGCGAGCGAACGGGGAAUAGCCCAAACCAAUUUAGUGUAAGCGUGCAGGCGUUGCUGGGUUGGGGUUGUAGGGCGUACUGGCUAUCAACUGCAUUUGAUAGACGGAGUUACAAAGUGUUGAUUUAGUGGAAGCAGCUGGGAAGCUGCGGCAUAGAGGGUGAUACCCCCGUACACGAAAAGUCAACGCCUCCGGAGUACGUUCCUGAGUACGGUGGGACACGUGAAACCCCGCUGGAAUCUGGGAGGACCAUCUUCCAAGGCUAAGUACUACCUAGCGACCGAUAGUGAACAAGUACCGUGAGGGAAAGGUGAAAAGAUCCCCGAAAGGGAAGUGAAAUAGACCCUGAAACCGUAUGCCUACAAACAGUGGGAGCUCUUCGGAGUGACCGCGUACCUUUUGCAUAAUGAGUCAGCGAGUUGUGGUUCGUGGCAAGGUUAAGCCGUCAGGUGUAGCCGUAGGGAAACCGAGUCUGAAUAGGGCGAAUAGUCGCGGGCUGCAGACCCGAAACCAAGUGAGCUACCCAUGGCCAGGUUGAAGCGUUGGUAAAACUUCGUGGAGGACCGAACCCACAUAUGUUGAAAAAUAUGGGGAUGAGCUGUGGGUAGGAGUGAAAGGCUAAUCAAACUUGGAAAUAGCUGGUUCUCCCCGAAAUGCAUUGAGGUGCAGCGUCGGGUAGCACCGANGGAGGUAGAGCACUGACAGGGUGCGGGGCCGCGAGGCUACCAACCCCUAUCAAACUCCGAAUUCCGUUGAGUGACGCCCGGCAGUGAGACUACGGGGGAUAAGCUCCGUGGUCGAGAGGGAAAGAGCCCAGAGUACCGGCUAAGGCCCCUAAGUGUGUGCUAAGUGGUCAAGGAUGUGGGGAAACCCAGACAACCAGGAGGUUGGCUUAGAAGCAGCCACCCUUUAAAGAAAGCGUAAUAGCUCACUGGUCGAGUUGCCCUGCGCCGUAAAUAUAACGGGGCUAAGCACGCCGCCGAAGCCGUGCGUUCGCGUAAGCGAGCGGUAGGGGAGCGUUCCAUAUGCAGCGAAGGUGUAUCGCGAGGUCCACUGGAGCGUAUGGAAGUGAGAAUGCUGACGUGAGUAACGAUAAAGNGGGUGAAAAACCCNCUCGCCGAAAACCUAAGGUUUCCUGUCCAAGGAUCAUCCGGGCAGGGUUAGUCGGCCCCUAAGGUGUAGCCGAAAGGCGAAGCCGAUGGGAAACAGGUUAAUAUUCCUGUACCACCAGUAUUGAGUAAAGCAGGGACGGAGAAGGGUAGGUGAUCGGGCUGAUGGAUUAGCCCGUACAAGCCUGUAGGUANUGGGACCGUAGGAAUAAAACGCGGACCCAGCUGAGAGGUGAUGUCGAGUCCAUAGGACGAAGUCAUUGAUCCCACGCUUCCAAGAAAAGCUGCGGACUACGUUGAUAUACUGGUGACCGUACCGCAAACCAACUCAGGUAGGUGGGUGGAGAACACUAAGGCGCUUGAGAGAACUCGGGUUAAGGAAUUAGGCAAAUUAGCACCGUAACUUCGGGAUAAGGUGUGCCCCUNGUAGGUGAAGGGACUUGCUCCUGGAGCUGANUGGGGUUGCAACAAAGCAGCGGUAGCGACUGUUUACCAAAAACACAGGACUCUGCUAAGCCGUAAGGCGAUGUAUAGGGUCUGACGCCUGCCCGGUGCCGGAAGGUUAAGAGGCGUUGUUAGGAUUCGUCCGAAGCAGCAAAUUGAAGCCCCGGUAAACGGCGGCCGUAACAAUAACGGUCCUAAGGUAGCGAAAUUCCUUGUCGGGUAAGUUC